AUGAAAUCAAAGGGGAGAGGGAAAGGGGAGGGCACGCACGUAGGUGUUGAGCUGCCUGACGAAGGAGGAGAAGUUGUUGUGCUUGAAGUACUUGGGGAGGAGGUCCCGGGCGAACUCGGGCGUGUUCCACACGAUGAAGCUGUUGUUGGCCGGCCCCCAGGAGACGACGGCGUCCGUGGCCGGGUCGUCCACCAUGUCGUACGUCUUCAUCAGGAACGGCGGCGGCGCGCCCGCCCCCGCCGCCCCGGGAGGCGCGACCGCCGUGGUCACCGUCGACGCCGCCGCGGCCGCGGCGGCCGCAGCAGCUACCCCGCCGUCCAUCGCCGCGCCCGAUCCGUACGGCCUCGGAGCUCAGCCCCGCCCCGCGGGAACACCACCAGCCGGACCGGAGGGAGCUCCUCCGAUUGGAGCAGUGGGGGAUUUGGGGGUGGGGAUUGA
This 438-nucleotide ribosomal RNA is filed under the name Triticum aestivum (bread wheat). Its description in RNAcentral is "partial small subunit ribosomal RNA". The record is from RNAcentral. Lineage: Eukaryota; Viridiplantae; Streptophyta; Magnoliopsida; Poales; Poaceae.